GGUGGUGUGGUGUAAUGGUAGCACGUGACGUUGUGGAGGUUGGUAUUCCAGUAUGAAUCUCAACGAGACAGGUCCGUUUCAAUCUGGGUUCGAUUCCCAGCACCGCCA
Bisporella sp. PMI_857 is the source of this 108-nucleotide non-coding RNA. Lineage: Eukaryota; Fungi; Ascomycota; Leotiomycetes; Helotiales; Helotiaceae. The record is from the annotation of a GenBank genome assembly.